Molecule: ribosomal RNA, 534 nt
Filed under: uncultured archaeon
Lineage: Archaea
Description: bacterial SSU rRNA
Rfam family: Archaeal small subunit ribosomal RNA
Source: RNAcentral
CGGGGUGCACCAGGCGCGAAAACUUUACAAUGCUGGCAACAGCGAUAAGGGGACCUUGAGUGCCAGGAUACAAUCCUGGCUGUCGUGAUGCCUAAAAAGCAUUAUAUAGCAAGGGCCGGGCAAGACCGGUGCCAGCCGCCGCGGUAACACCGGCGGCUCGAGUGGUAACCGCUAUUAUUGGGUCUAAAGGGUCUGUAGCCGGCUUGGUUAGUCUCUUGGGAAAUCCGGCAGCUUAACCGUCGGGCUUUCAGGAGAUACUGCCAGGCUCGAGACCGGGAGAGGUGAGAGGUACUUCAUGGGUAGGGGUGAAAUCUUGUAAUCCUUGAAGGACCACCAGUGGCGAAGGCGUCUCACCAGAACGGAUCUGGCGGCAAGGGACGAAAGCUAGGGGCACGAACCGGAUUAGAUACCCGGGUAGUCCUAGCCGUAAACGAUACUCGCUAGGUGUCGGCCACGGUGCGACCGUGGUCGGUGCCAUAGGGAAGCCGCGAAGCGAGCCACCUGGGAAGUACGGCCGCAAGGCUGAAACUUAAA